Molecule: long non-coding RNA, 388 nt
Filed under: Mytilus galloprovincialis (Mediterranean mussel)
Lineage: Eukaryota; Metazoa; Mollusca; Bivalvia; Mytilida; Mytilidae
Source: RNAcentral
GUUGUUUAGACGGAUCUGUAACUUUGCCGUAGUUUGGCUUUGGUGUAAUAAAACAAAAUGUUUUUUUCUGGUUUCAAACAUAUAUGAAGUAUUAAAAACUUAUAACAGAAUUUGAUUUUGUUUAUAUCAGUCUCUAAGUUACAGUUUUAUCUUUUUUGUGGCGUUCCUGCGCCCGAGGUAACCAAUUUUGUCAAAUAAUUGUGGCAUCCCUGCUAUUUGGGUGACCCAUGCGUACAUUUGUUAAGAGUUCCUGCUCAUGAGGUCACCCAUUAUGCCAACUAUUGGUGGCGUCCCUGCCAUUCAGGUAGCCUGAACAAUAUACUUGCCUUUAUAUAUUUUAAAUUAUUAUAACUUUGUCCCGGUAGAAGAUUAUCCAACAGUACACGGC